AGCUUUGUGCAGUGGCAGUUUCGUAGCCAAUGAGGUUUAUCCAAGGCGCGAUUAUUGCUAAUUGAAAAUUAUGAUUUUCCUAAUUUAUAAUUGUUUAGUAUUGGUAGACCUUUCAUUAUCACACUGAGA
Molecule: small nuclear RNA, 129 nt
Organism: Callithrix jacchus (white-tufted-ear marmoset)
Lineage: Eukaryota; Metazoa; Chordata; Mammalia; Primates; Cebidae
Gene: U4
Rfam family: U4 spliceosomal RNA
About the family: U4 small nuclear RNA (U4 snRNA) is a component of the major U2-dependent spliceosome. The structure of U4 snRNA from yeast and human has been reported. U4 snRNA presents a k-turn RNA motif in the 5p-SL related to recognition of Snu13 protein.
Source: Ensembl